ACUGUAAUUUUUGCGCAAGACAAUUUCCAGCUAUUUCAAGCAUCAACAUUGUCAAAGUUGUAUGUACAUAAUAAAUGGUAAUAUCAAUGCAUAGUUUUUAGCAUAACAUCUUGACUCCGCGAUAAUUAUAUCCGUUUGGAGCCUACGCAAAAUUAGCCUGAAUUGCAUGCUAUAAAGAGGGAAAAUAAAGCAGGAUUUUUCAUUCCUGCUCGGAGAGCGUCUGUCAGCUCUGAGCCCAGCUAGAGGAGCCACAUUCUGGGACCCAAAGAGCCGAACCCAUGCCAUGACUGCUGGAUUCUCUUUUCACAUUCUUCUGCUUCUCUCGAGAGUGAUUUUAGACGUCUUAUAGGCUACUAUUGACGCCGCCAAUCUUUGUGUUCUGCUUUACUGAACAUUAUAAGCUUCAGCUGAUGGGUCUCUUCAGCUCUUGUUCAGCAUUGGGAAAACAUGCAAACAAAGAUGUCUGCAGAGCUGGCCAGUGGUUCACACCUGUAGAUGGAACACAACAUGUUCUCUCCAGCCAUGAGCUCUUUCUGCAGGCCACUGCUGUUUUGGAUUUCCUGUUUGGAUAUAUUAUUUUAUUGACACUGUAUUAGAACAAAUAAUAUUAUGCUAAAUUAUAUCAUGUCAUGUUUGCUGAAAAAAUAAAUAAAUCGCAGUGUUAAAUCCGC
Molecule: long non-coding RNA, 671 nt
Organism: Ctenopharyngodon idella (grass carp)
Lineage: Eukaryota; Metazoa; Chordata; Actinopteri; Cypriniformes; Xenocyprididae
Exons: 3
Source: RefSeq, a predicted model, not a curated record